UUAUGGGUAAUUCAGUGGUAGAACAUAUGCUUAGCAAGCAGUAGACCCUGAGUUUAAUACCCAGCUCAAAAA
This 72-nucleotide transfer RNA is filed under the name Marmota marmota marmota (Alpine marmot). It matches the Rfam family "tRNA". Rfam says of the family: Transfer RNA (tRNA) molecules are approximately 80 nucleotides in length. Their secondary structure includes four short double-helical elements and three loops (D, anti-codon, and T loops). RNAcentral also lists the same sequence under 2 other names. Lineage: Eukaryota; Metazoa; Chordata; Mammalia; Rodentia; Sciuridae. The record is from Rfam by way of RNAcentral.